RNAcentral lists this ribosomal RNA (497 nucleotides) under uncultured bacterium. RNAcentral's name for it is "partial 16S ribosomal RNA". It matches the Rfam family "Bacterial small subunit ribosomal RNA", at positions 28 to 507 of the family's 1533-position model. The record is from RNAcentral.
GAUGAACGCUGGCGGCGUGCCUAAUACAUGCAAGUCGAGCGAAUAGACGAGGAGCUUGCUCCUCUGACGUUAGCGGCGGACGGGUGAGUAACACGUGGAUAACCUACCUAUAAGACUGGGAUAACUUCGGGAAACCGGAGCUAAUACCGGAUAAUAUAUUGAACCGCAUGGUUCAAUAGUGAAAGACGGUUUUGCUGUCACUUAUAGAUGGAUCCGCGCCGCAUUAGCUAGUUGGUAAGGUAACGGCUUACCAAGGCAACGAUGCGUAGCCGACCUGAGAGGGUGGUCGGCCACACUGGAACUGAGACACGGUCCAGACUCCGACGGGAGGCAGCAGUAGGGAAUCUUCCGCAAUGGGCGAAAGCUUGACGGAGCAACGCCGCGUGAGUGAUGAAGGUCUUCGGAUCGUAAAACUCUGUUAGUAGGGAAGAACAAAUGUGUAAGUAACUAUGCACGUCUUGACGGUACCUAAUCAGAAAGCCACGGCUAACUACGUG